This is a long non-coding RNA of Triticum aestivum (bread wheat), 2174 nucleotides long. RefSeq lists it as uncharacterized. The transcript is spliced from 2 exons. The record is from RefSeq and is a predicted model, not a curated record. NCBI's taxonomy places the organism in Eukaryota, Viridiplantae, Streptophyta, Magnoliopsida, Poales, Poaceae.
UGCUCUUAUCCCUCACCAUCGAUCCCCUUAUCCCUCCUCCGCACCCUCACCGUCCCGGCGAUGCCUCGUUCCUCCACCUCCCCACCUGCGCCCUUUCUCUUACCCAGAAAUCCGGAAUCUCCUCAACCUCGUCCACUACCACUUUAAUGGCACCUCUCCCUCGUCUCCUACAAGCUGCAAUCACAGUGGCAUCUUGGGCGCGCACAGAUCUGACGCAGAACUCAACCCCGACGUCGGCCUUGUGGAAGUGGAGCGGCCAUGCGGUGGAAGGCGGUCUAGUGCGACGGCUGGAAGCACCAGCGAACCCUAGUCGCCACUGGUUACCAGCGCGGCUCCCACCUCUCCCGUUGGCUUCCUCAACAUCGUGGCCUUGUGCUGCCACGCGACCCCUUCCAAAUUCUUUUGCCGCUUCCGGCUGACGUUGUGGUCGUGGAUUCCUACAGAGGAAAGGUCGCCCGGUUCCUCUAGUUUACGGACGCCCUUACAAUGCAUAGAUGUGCCUGGUUUCCACCAUCGUGAGGCAUCGCAGCCCCACCCCAUGGUCCCUGAACCGAAGGAGAGAUCAUGUAGAAGCCAUGCCACAGCUGGCUUGAUGUGCAGGAACAAGCUUGAUGCGUCUACCUGCCGACGGGCGGACGUGUUGUGCACCCAUCAUCACCCAUCGUCUGAUACACAGUAUGACCUGAUGCAUGUACAACCUUUUGCUGAAUCUGGUAUCCUUUGAUUAUUAUAAUCCUGAUGCUAAAGGGUGCGUGGCUAUGUGUGUUUCAAAUGCAAUGCUAAUAUACAUGCACAUAGAGGAGAUGAAGAAAGUAAAGUGUUGAUUUGACCAGGCUCUCCGUGAGUGGUGCGCUGAUUUGAUUGGUUGACAUUGGCAACGAAACAUUGAAACCAUUCAUUCUACGAAUUGCACAUCAUGAUUUCAGUUACACUGUACUGCUCGAUUCAUGCAAGUAAAGGUUAGGUAUGAUCCAUGCAUAUCAAUCUUUAAAACUCACAUGUCUGCUUCAUGUAACAGUACCAGCCCAUGAUAGCAUAGUGGACUGUAACUCUCCAGGAUGUCAGAUCCUCAGAGUUGGUUUAUGCUAGAAGCUUACACUUUGCUGGAGUUGAAGACAUCAAGAGAAAUUGGGAAUCUGUUGGUAAGGAAACAUUCUUUUUAUCUUUCACUAGACAACACCGCAAACGAGUACACUUUUUUGAUAUCUACCUUUUCUUGUUAUCAAUAUUGUUUUUUUAGACUUGUGAUGUUAAUCAGUCUCGUGUCGUUAAGAUCUAUAAGCAAUUGUCAAAUAAGAAUGAACAAAAAAUGCCUACACAUAUUACCUUGCUACCAAACAUAUGAAAAGGAAUAUAAAAAAUCCAUUUGGUUGUUUGUCUUGUGUGUUGGUUUUUUUCUCUCCAUAAAAUUGGUCGUCAAACAUGUGUGUCAAUCCAACAAAUAUAUGAAUUUGUGGUACCAUAAUAUUAAUAAAAUAUGUUGCUGCACAUCAAAAUGUCUGAAUCUGUUGAGUAAUUGAGGGUUGAAGAGAGGAAAGGAGAGGGAGAGAGGGAAGUUUACGUGACACAAUUGAAAAUGGUAGACAUGCCUUGUCAAGAUAAGCACAUUGUGAAAUAUGCCAGCUGGAUGGUUAUGUGUUCUAAAUUCAAAGUGUGUGUGAAUGGGCGAGGAAAGGGAACUGAUAACAUGGAUCUGUAUGACUGAGAUAGUGUGGAGAGGAAGAUUUUUUUUACAAUUCGUCCUAAUGUGCAUCAGGAUCCUAAAAAUAUAUGUUAGACAAGAUUGGUGUUGAACAACUGGAAGAUGUAUGAACAACUAGAAUAUGUAUAUAUAUGCAGAGGCCGGGGAUCCCCCCCUUUUCGAAAAAAAAUAUAAUGUUCUUUUAAAUAUGCUAGGUAUGAUUGGGUAGUGGGCUACAUAGUGCUACCCACCAUAAUCCUCGCCAUGACAUGAUAGUUGCCAUCAGGAGAAUCGAUGAAGAACCUGAACAGCAGCCUCAAAAGUUUGUAUGUUUUGUUGAUGUAAACUGGAUUGUAGUGCUUCUUAACCUUCUUCAAUGAUAUAUUUAGUGAAUCUAUGUUGUAAGUUAUCAUUAGAUGAAGGAUUUGUAAACUACUAUGUUGUAUAUACAAACAAAUUUUUUUGAGAAAAUAUAUAAAUACUGAUGGCUGCA